GAAGAAGUCUUCCUCUGUUUUUUUUUUUCCCUUUCUUUCCCCCUGUUUCAGAAGUGGGUCUCUCCCAAACUUCUCACAAACAGUUGGGAAACUUGAUAAUUCAGAAAAUCAGGCUGUUUUCGUGGAUAAAUCUAAGAGCUAUUGUUCUUUCAAGUCAGAGGUUAGUCUUAAAGAUCACUUUGGAGCUUGAUUUAUCAAUCAACUUGGAGAGGAGUUUGGAAUUUUGAUUGGAGCUAAAUAAGAAAUCAGUUUUGAAAAAUCUCACUGAUUAGCUCAGAACUAAGCCAGGACUUAGUUCCUAGUUUUUGAGUAAUGAAACUAACUGCGAAUCCAUUAAAAAAGUCUUUGUCAAUUGUCGUUAGAGUAAAGCUUUAGAAUAUAAGUGACUUGUUAAUUAGUUCAUCAAGUAAACUCAAAAACUUUCAAAAAGAAUAAGCAAAGAAAAGAAAAAGAAAAAAGAACUCGAAAACUAAGUGACCAACUUUGGAAUACUCCUUGAUUGGACUACUUACAAAAACUGAUGUGGAAUAUGUGGUUAAUUGGGGCAAUGGUGUUUGAAGAUCCUGGGACUCUUCGCCAUCCAAGUACUCUAGACUAAGAGUUGAUCAAUAAAAUUACUGACAACACCCAGAGAAAUAGUAUCAAAAUGCUUACCAGUCAAGCAGAUUUGCUAGGAUUCAAGGGAUUCAAUGCUCAUCAGGCCCAUGACCAGCCUUGUACAGACCAAACACAACCAACCAUGCAACAAUCAUUUAGUGCAGAACUUUUUGCUGAUAUUGUUAGCUGAACAAGAGAAUUAGGAAUUUAUGUCAGUUCAUUCUCCUUGUUUGCCUUCUUUUAGUGGAAAUAGUUCUUGGGCAAUAUUUUUUAUUAGCCAAACUAAUCUCACAGGAAACAAAAAGAGGAAGUACAUUCUAUCAUGGCCAAGUGGCAACUUGGGAUUAGGUAAUAUAUAAUCAAUUUUUUAUGGAAAUACAAAUUAUAUGUUUUGGAUUUGGAUGAUA
Long non-coding RNA from Magnolia sinica, 1004 nucleotides. RefSeq lists it as uncharacterized. Lineage: Eukaryota; Viridiplantae; Streptophyta; Magnoliopsida; Magnoliales; Magnoliaceae. The record is from RefSeq and is a predicted model, not a curated record. The transcript is spliced from 2 exons.